This 231-nucleotide ribosomal RNA is filed under the name uncultured bacterium. Its description in RNAcentral is "partial 16S ribosomal RNA". It matches the Rfam family "Bacterial small subunit ribosomal RNA", at positions 99 to 334 of the family's 1533-position model. The record is from RNAcentral.
CGGACGGGUGAGUAAUGUCUGGGAAACUGCCCGAUGGAGGGGGAUAACUACUGGAAACGGUAGCUAAUACCGCAUAACGUCGCAAGACCAAAGAGGGGGACCUUGGGCCUCUUGCCAUCGGAUGUGCCCAGAUGGGAUUAGCUAGUAGGUGGGGUAACGGCUCACCUAGGCGACGAUCCCUAGCUGGUCUGAGAGGAUGACCAGCCACACUGGAACUGAGACACGGUCCAG